RNAcentral lists this ribosomal RNA (554 nucleotides) under uncultured archaeon. Its description in RNAcentral is "bacterial SSU rRNA". It matches the Rfam family "Archaeal small subunit ribosomal RNA", at positions 325 to 879 of the family's 1478-position model. The record is from RNAcentral.
ACGGGGUGCAGCAGGCGCGAAACCUUUACACUGCACGACAGUGCGAUAAGGGAAUCCCAAGUGCGUAGGCAUAGAGCCUACGCUUUUGUCCACCGUAGGGAGGUGGACGAAUAAGGGCUGGGCAAGACCGGUGCCAGCCGCCGCGGUAAUACCGGCAGCCCGAGUGAUGGCCGAUCUUAUUGGGCCUAAAGCGUCCGUAGCUGGCCGCGCAAGUCUAUCGGAAAAUCCACCCGCUCAACGGGUGGGCGUCCGGUAGAAACUGCGUGGCUUGGGACCGGAAGGCGCGACGGGUACGUCCGGGGUAGGAGUGAAAUCCUGUAAUCCUGGACGGACCGCCGAUGGCGAAAGCACGUCGCGAAGACGGAUCCGACAGUGAGGGACGAAAGCUAGGGUCUCGAACCGGAUUAGAUACCCGGGUAGUCCUAGCCGUAAACAAUGCCUGCUAGGUGUGGCUCCCACUACGAGUGGGUGCUGUGCCGUAGGGAAGCCGCUAAGCAGGCCGCCUGGGAAGUACGUCCGCAAGGAUGAAACUUAAAGGAAUGGCGGGGGAGCAC